This 253-nucleotide ribosomal RNA is filed under the name uncultured bacterium. RNAcentral's name for it is "partial 16S ribosomal RNA". It matches the Rfam family "Bacterial small subunit ribosomal RNA", at positions 524 to 776 of the family's 1533-position model. The record is from RNAcentral.
UACGUAGGGUGCAAGCGUUAAUCGGAAUUACUGGGCGUAAAGCGUGCGCAGGCGGUUGUGCAAGACCGACGUGAAAUCCCCGGGCUUAACCUGGGAAUGGCAUUGGUGACUGUACGGCUAGAGUGUGUCAGAGGGGGGUAGAAUUCCACGUGUAGCAGUGAAAUGCGUAGAGAUGUGGAGGAAUACCGAUGGCGAAGGCAGCCCCCUGGGAUAACACUGACGCUCAUGCACGAAAGCGUGGGGAGCAAACAGG